UUGAUCGUUUGAUUGUUAGGAUUUGUACAUUGUAGAGGAACAAUUUUCUAGAAUAUGGGAUUUCUAUUAUGAUUACGAGACUGAAAUUUAGAAAUCAAAUAGUUUUUUGGUCUAAUUUUGUUUAAGUAUUUCUUCCCACAUAUGUAUCUUCGAUAAUUAGCUCUGUACAGUUUUCUUAUGAAUUUGAUUGCAGUGCAAAGGCCACCUUAUUCCUCAUUUAGUACCCAAAUCAAUACAAUGUUGUUACCAGUGUGAUCAUUGUAACAGAUUGCUAUCUCCUAUGUAUGAAAUACGCAGUACUAUACCUGAUCCCAAUUCUGGGUUGGGGUCUGAUGAAAAUGUUCACUAUUUGGCUUUACUAGUUUCAGUCGCAGCCAGUGUGAUCAUUCUCUUUGUUAUGGUUGUAUGUGUAUAUCUGCAUUACAAAAAGAAAGACGAACAAGUUUCCAUUAUCAAAGCUCCUUGUGUACCAUACCUUCGAGGAAAUUCAACGAUCAAGGACAUGUUAGAUCAUAGCCAGAGUUCUGGUUCUGGUUUACCUUUACUGGUUUAAAGAACAAUAGCCAAGCAGUUAGUUAUGGGCCAUUCCAUAGGUAAAGAUUGAUAUGGUGAAGUUUUGAUGGCCAAAUGGAUGGAAGAAAAAGUUGCUGUCAAGGUGUUUUUCACAACUGAAGAAGCUUCUUGAUUUAGAGAAACAGACAUUUACUCACUGUACUCCUACGUUGACUGUACUCAUGAGACAUUCUGGGUUUCAUUGCUGCUGAUAUCAAAGGAACGGGCUCUCUUGGACAUAUAUGUUACCUACUCAUUACCGACUAUCAUGAACUUGGAUCUUUAUUACACGAUUUUCUUCAACAAUAUUCUCCUGGCGGAGUAGCAGCUGGAAGGUUAGCAUUUACGUAAGACGUUUAUGUUGAGGAUCUCGAUUUCUUCAUGCUGGCAUUCAUGAGAAUUUGUUUUACAACAUCAAUAGCAACUACACCCAAUAUUUUUCUUGUUCAUGUUAAACUGCAACUCACGUUCUUUAACAUCUGAAAUUUAUUAUUAACAUUAAUUUGGAAAUUCAAGUUUUCAUCAUAAUAAAUCAUGCAAUUAAAUUAAUAAUGUAAUUAUAUUCGCAAAUUAUACAUAUUUAUUGUUA
Molecule: unclassified non-coding RNA, 1141 nt
Filed under: Daphnia pulex (common water flea)
Lineage: Eukaryota; Metazoa; Arthropoda; Branchiopoda; Diplostraca; Daphniidae
Description: bone morphogenetic protein receptor type-1B-like, transcript variant X1
Source: RNAcentral